This 936-nucleotide long non-coding RNA is filed under the name Apteryx owenii (little spotted kiwi). Its description in RNAcentral is "lncRNA (ENSAOWG00000019219.1)". Lineage: Eukaryota; Metazoa; Chordata; Aves; Apterygiformes; Apterygidae. The record is from RNAcentral.
CAGGAGCCAGGUCUCUCUCAUCUCUUCCCAUCAGAGGGCAGUGGAUCGCACCUUGGAGGAAGGGUGCAGCGGCACUUCAGCACCUUCGCAACCCAGGCCAGCCACUGCUUUGCACCGCAGCUGCUGACCYGAGAGCAACCUUGCUCUGAAAAUGCCCUCCCUUUCUCACAUCUGCUCUCUGACAACUCUCAGCAGCGAGCUGUUUGCCUCCUGCUCACUCUGCAUGCUCAGAAAUAGCCUGUGCUAUUUUUGGCACACAGCUCUGUUUGAAGUCCUCCUUUCUCUGCUCUUGGAGUUUGCACAGGUCAUCUCGAUGUGUUUACAGCAACGGCUCUUAUAGUUGGCAACGAGAUGCUUUUCCCGACAUCAGCCAUACGGCUCCUUCAAAAAAGACGCAUUUCCUCACGAUGCUCUGCUCAGUUUGAGCUGGGCUUGAAAGAGAAUUUGAAAGCAGCAGCUAGGAAUAGAGAGGCCUGUGGCUAAAAAAGCUGUAAUUAUAUUUUUCCUGAGCUUGAUCAUCCAGCCUUCCUUCAUUCCCUGGGCUCGCUGCAUGAAGAAAAACUCAGUUUUGGAGUAAAUGAAGGAAACAACACUCACAAGACAAGACAGAACACAGCAACAGGAUCACCGACUGAUACGUACAUACUCUCCCAGGUUUGGGGGAUGUUUGUUCUUACUAUUCUUGUYGUUGGUUAUGGCCUGUACACUGUAUACCCAUUUUGGUUCUGCUGUAAUGAUGAAGAAGGACAUAGGAGAAACGAGCUGGAGCUCCCAUUAGAGGAAAGACCACAGGAAUUCAGCGAACACCUCUUGGAAUGACCUUGUGUGAGAGGAUGGUGACACAUGUUUGGGUGGGACAUUAAAGCUGGGCUGGAAAAAUACCCUGCUCUCACUGUUCUUUCCAUAGCAUGGCUCUAGUUCAUAAAUUGUCUCCUG